AGAGGCAAUCUCCCAAAUAGAUGGAUUCCACUUGGAAGGCACACUUGUGUCGAGUCAGGAGAAAGCUACCGGCCUCGACGACGGUUAGUAGAUUUGUGAUAGAAAAAUACAAGGUAAAUCCAGUGGGUUCCUUGUUUCUCCAUGACAAUCUUGGGUAGAAAAAUCUAGUGGUUCCUUAUUUCUCUCAGUCAAGACAGCCUCGGAAAACCCAGUAUUCGCAGGCAUCAAAUGUUAAACGACAAUUGAUGAUCGGAAAAAAAAAAAAAGUGGCCUUGUACACCGACGACGCCAAUAAUGGCACACGAGAAAAACAGGCUCUGACGAUCUUAACCAGCAGCAGCAGAUUCAUGUACUAUAUAUAAAUGAGCUACUCACAAUUGUCUGAGGGAGUAACAUUGCAUAGGAAGGGAAGUGGUAUAAAAGGAGUGCUUUGAGCCACCACCCAUUGAUACGAUUAAAGUGGAACGCGUGAUUGCAAACACCUAAGCAGAUGAGCAUAGAGUCAACAGAAAGAAUUGCACAGAAGACGGAGGCAGCGAAGCAUUUGAUGUUUGGAACAUAUACAAAGAAUGUAUGACUCACUGGCUGGCUCAAUGGACCCCUACUGCCAAAUCACAAAUAGAAAGCAACUGUUCAAACAUCUUAGAUAAAAAAAAAGAAAUAUAGAGAGAAAACAACUUUUACCAACUUUGAAACCAAACCAGAAUCGAAUGUGUUGGCUAGGUUAAGCCUUGACAGUUGUUCGUAAGGUCCUCGAAUCGAAUCCCGUCUUCACCUAUAUUACCAUUUGCAGAUUAAAAAAAAAAGAAAACAAUCAGAUUGUAUUAUGGAUGUAAUUUCAGUGGCAGCAUCAUACAUUGUGGCUGAUAAUUUCACUCGCAUGGCUCAGCUUCAACUAAAGCACAAAAAAUGACAGACAAAAUUAGACCAAUAAACAUUUACAAGUAAGUCUCUAUCACAAUGAUCUAAUGAAGCUUUUCCAAAUCCAUUUCUUAUAUAUCUCGAUCCGACAGGCAAAGGAACUGAAUGUACAAGCAACCAUGCUACCAUACCAAUGUAUAACCAAUUUUUAAUCAUUUAAUGCCGAAGUUUUUGUAUGCUUUUAGUUCAUAGUGUCGUUAUCUAUGUUUGAUAGAAUUCUAAUGCUGCCAAGAGAUUCAGUUGAUGCAAGAACAAAUAAAAUCGAUACAUCACAGAUUCAGUUGAGUUAAAACCCCAGUGAACUCAAACUCACUCGGCAGGCAGGACAUUGAUGGGUAACUAACUAACUAACUAACUAACUAACUAGGCAUCGAGAGUUUGGUCCAAAAUGAAUUCAAUGUUUCUAAAAUAGCGUUGGUCUCGGAGGCUCGAUCAGAAUUCUAAAUUAUGCUGGUUAAACUGUGGGACGAAUUGAUGUCUGAACCAAUAUUUGUGAGCAAACGAAUUCGAUCGAAACAGGAAACCUAUAAUAACACUAAUUUUCGGCAACAAAAUAGAAUGUUACGAUAUUGAGAUAAAUGACACUCUCGAGAAACAUACUAAUUUGCGGCAUACAAAAUUUUCAUGAAAGUUAAAACCAUAUAGGAGGAUCGUUCAAGACAAGAAAGCCGAAAAGAACUCGCAUCGCGCGAGUAACAAAACGUGAGGCAUACGCACUCGCGUGUAUAGGCUGGCGCUCAACGCCUGCUGCAAGGAGAUUUCAGAACCAAGAACAACCAGAUCUGAAAGUCCAACCAUAUACAUAAACCUAAAGAAUCACCAAAACAUGCGACCAAGACGGAGCAAAUCAAGAAAAUAUACAAGGGGAAAGGCAGGUCACAGAGGACCAGGAUGUGAUUCCCACAAUUAUCCACCACGACAUCAUAUCGGUCAAUCAAUUGGAAAGAUCCACGGAUAAAGAAUCAAGACCCCAAGUGAAACAAUCCAAUACAAAGUGCAAAGCGCCAUCGGCGAUCGGACACAUACCCCAGGCCCAGAGGGCGAUAGCAUUCCACUUGUUGAUCCCAAACGUGUUCCGCUUCUUCGAUAAGGACGACUACCCGGCGGCGCCACUGGACCGUUCGCGGGCCGGAACCAUGUUGAUGUCGGUGCGGAGGGAAGCCAUGGAUGGAAGCGAGGAGGAGGGUUUGGUGAUGCCGAGGAGGGGCACCGCAUGAUCGCCGAGCUUCUAAAUCAUUAUGAUAUGAAUAAUAAUAAUAUUAUUAUUAUUAAAGGGUUGUCAUGUGUUUGGGUCGUUUCACGUGAGUGAGAUGGACAUCGUACUUUGCCCAACAAAAAUUAUUUGAUGGCG
RNAcentral lists this long non-coding RNA (2272 nucleotides) under Musa acuminata (dwarf banana). RNAcentral describes it as "long non-coding RNA (MACU_LNC001013)". Lineage: Eukaryota; Viridiplantae; Streptophyta; Magnoliopsida; Zingiberales; Musaceae. The record is from RNAcentral.